AGACCCGAAACCCGGUGAUCUAGCCAUGGGCAGGUUGAAGGUUGGGUAACACUAACUGGAGGACCGAACCGACUAAUGUUGAAAAAUUAGCGGAUGACCUGUGGCUGGGGGUGAAAGGCCAAUCAAACCGGGAGAUAGCUGGUUCUCCCCGAAAGCUAUUUAGGUAGCGCCUCGUGAAUUCAUCUCCGGGGGUAGAGCACUGUUUCGGCUAGGGGGCCAUCCCGGCUUACCAACCCGAUGCAAACUGCGAAUACCGGAGAAUGUUAUCACGGGAGACACACGGCGGGUGCUAACGUCCGUCGUGAAGAGGGAAACAACCCAGACCGCCAGCUAAGGUCCCAAAGUCAUGGUUAAGUGGGAAACGAUGUGGGAAGGCCCAGACAGCCAGGAUGUUGGCUUAGAAGCAGCCAUCAUUUAAAGAAAGCGUAAUAGCUCACUGGUCGAGUCGGCCUGCGCGGAAGAUGUAACGGGGCUAAACCAUGCACCGAAGCUGCGGCAGCGACACUCAGGUGUUGUUGGGUAGGGGAGCGUUCUGUAAGCCUGCGAAGGUGGCCUGUGAGGGUUGCUGGAGGUAUCAGAAGUGCGAAUGCUGACAUAAGUAACGAUAAAGCGGGUGAAAAGCCCGCUCGCCGGAAGACUAAGGGUUCCUGUCCAACGUUAAUCGGGGCAGGGUGAGUCGACCCCUAAGGCGAGGCCGAAAGGCGUAGUCGAUGGGAAACGGGUUAAUAUUCCCGUACUUGGUGUUACUGCGAAGGGGGGACGGAGAAGGCUAUGUUGGCCGGGCGACGGUUGUCCCGGUUUAAGCGUGUAGGUGUGUGUUCCAGGUAAAUCCGGUUCACUUUAACACUGAGGCGUGA
This 857-nucleotide ribosomal RNA is filed under the name Salmonella enterica. Its description in RNAcentral is "partial 23S ribosomal RNA". It matches the Rfam family "Bacterial large subunit ribosomal RNA", at positions 711 to 1566 of the family's 2925-position model. The record is from RNAcentral. Lineage: Bacteria; Pseudomonadati; Pseudomonadota; Gammaproteobacteria; Enterobacterales; Enterobacteriaceae.